GUAGGGUCCAAGCGUUAAUCGGGAAUUACUGGGGCGUAAAGCGUGCGCAGGCGGUUGUGCAAGACCGAUGUGAAAUCCCCCGGGGGCUUAACCUGGGGAAUUGCAUUGGUGACUGCACGGCUAGAGUGUGUCAGAGGGGGGUAGAAUUCCACGUGUAGCAGUGAAAUGCGUAGAGAUGUGGAGGAAUACCGAUGGCGAAGGCAGCCCCCUGGGAUAACACUGACGCUCAUGCACGAAAGCGUGGGGAGCAAACAGGAUUAGAUACCCUGGUAGUCCACGCCCUAAACGAUGUCAACUAGUUGCUGGGGAUUCAUUUCCUUAGUAACGUAGCUAACGCGUGAAGUUGACCGCCUGGGGAGUACGGUCGCAAGAUUA
This 375-nucleotide ribosomal RNA is filed under the name uncultured organism. RNAcentral's name for it is "partial 16S ribosomal RNA". It matches the Rfam family "Bacterial small subunit ribosomal RNA", at positions 527 to 896 of the family's 1533-position model. The record is from RNAcentral.